UAAAGGGCUACUUUGCUUUUAAAUAACCCUGAUGACAUCAUCAGGGUUACUUUCUCAAACUUUAUAAAGCUCCCCCAGAGCUACAGAAGACAUUAUACAACUGUUUGAACAGGCCGAGUAGUACUCCUUAUGAGGAGUAAACUAAACUUCAUGUAGGGUUGGGCCGGAUCGG
Molecule: long non-coding RNA, 172 nt
Organism: Sebastes umbrosus (honeycomb rockfish)
Lineage: Eukaryota; Metazoa; Chordata; Actinopteri; Perciformes; Sebastidae
Exons: 3
Source: RefSeq, a predicted model, not a curated record